AGGUUAAGAACAAUAUCAGCAAAGUUUCGAGCUGAAUCUAAACUUUUGGUGGUAUCCAAGACUAAGGAAUCACUGUAUACCUCAGAACUGGUUUGAAGAGCUAAGAAAAGGAGUACAGUGAAGAAGAAAACAAUGAUGGAGUCUUGCUCUGUGGCCAGGCUGGAGUGAAGUGGUGCAAUCUCAGCUGACUGCAACCUUUGCCUCCCAGGUUCAACCAAUUCUCCCCCCUUAACCUCCCAAGUACCUGGGAUUACAGGCAUGUGCUACCAUGUCCAGCUAAUUUUUGUAUUUUCAGUAGAGAUGAGGUUUCACCAUAUUGGCCAGGAUGGUCUCGAUCUCCUGACCUCAUGAUCUGCCCACCUCAGCCUCCCAAAGUGCUGGAAUUGCAGGCGUGAGCCACCAUGCCAGGCCUAUUAUGCACUUUUUUUAGAAUUUGAAUCACUUUUUAUAUAAUUUGAAUACAAUAUGGAGUAUUUUAUGACUUCUUUCAUGUCACAGGUUCUCAGGGUUCAUCCAUGUUGUAGCAUGCAUCAAUACUUCAUAUUUUUUAUUGCCAAAGAAUAUUUCAUGUGUAUGUUUAUAUACAACAUUUUCUUUAUACAUUCAUUCAUCAGUUGAUGGACAUUUGACUUUUUCCCAUUUGACUAUUAUGAAUAAGGCUGCUAUGAAUAUUCAUGCACAAAUGUUUAUAUGGACAUGUGUCUUUAUUUCUCUUGGGUGUAUAUCUAGGAGUGGAAUUGCCAUAUCAUAUAACAACUCUGUGUUUGACCUUUUAAACAACUAUCAGACUCUUCUCCACGGUAGCUGCAUCACUGACACUCCCACAGCUGAGGUUAUCUCCAGCUCUUAACAUAGUAUCUGGUGAACAGAACAUUCUCAAAACAUAUUUGUAGAAGGCCAGAAGGAAAGGAAGGACAGGGCAAUCAACAUUUACAAGUGAGUGCUGGCUGUGAAAAGUUGAGUUUAGAGAGAAUCCUGAUCAUAGCUUCCCCAGCAUGGGAUAGGGGACAGGCCACAGUGCUGACUCCAGGAAU
Long non-coding RNA from Callithrix jacchus (white-tufted-ear marmoset), 1034 nucleotides. RefSeq lists it as uncharacterized. Lineage: Eukaryota; Metazoa; Chordata; Mammalia; Primates; Cebidae. The record is from RefSeq and is a predicted model, not a curated record.